AAGGGGCGAGGUUUUGAAAACCCCCCACCCUUUAUAUAUAUAUUUUUUUUUCCUCGCCAGACGAACGCUGGCGGCGUGCCUAAUACAUGCAAGUCGAGCGCGGGAAGCGAGCUGAUCCCUUCGGGGUGACGCUCGUGGAACGAGCGGCGGACGGGUGAGUAACACGUGGGCAACCUGCCUGUAAGAUCGGGAUAACUCCGGGAAACCGGGGCUAAUACCGGGUAAUACUUUCUUUCGCAUGAAGGAAAGUUGAAAGAUGGCUUCUCGCUAUCACUUACAGAUGGGCCCGCGGCGCAUUAGCUAGUUGGUGAGGUAACGGCUCACCAAGGCAACAAUGCGUAGCCAACCUGAAAGGGUGAUCGGCCACACUGGAACUGAAACACGGCCCAAACUCCUACGGAAGGCACCAGUAGGGAAUCUUCCGCAAGGGACAAAAGUCUGACGGACCAACGCCCCGUGAUUGAUGAAGGUUUUCGGAUCGUAAAACUCUGUUGUUAGGGAAAAACAAGUACCGUUCAAAUAGGGCGGAACCUUGACGGUACCUAACCAAAAAGCCACGGUUAACUACUUGCCAGCAGCCGCGGUAAUACGUAGGUGGCAACCGUUGUCCGGAAUUAUGGGGCGUAAAGCGCGCGCAGGCGGUUUCUUAAGUCUGAUGUGAAAGCCCCCGGCUCAACCGGGGAGGGUCAUUGAAAACUGGGGAACUUGAGUGCAAAAAAGGAAAUUGGAAUUCCACGUGUACCGGUGAAAUGCGUAAAAAUGUGGGGGAAAACCAGGGGCGAAGGCGACUCUCUGGUCUGUUUCUGACGCUGAGGUGCGAAAGCGUGGGUGGCAAACAGGAUUAGAUACCCUGGUAGUCCACGCCGUAAA
Molecule: ribosomal RNA, 870 nt
Filed under: Halobacterium sp.
Lineage: Archaea; Methanobacteriati; Methanobacteriota; Halobacteria; Halobacteriales; Halobacteriaceae
Description: bacterial SSU rRNA
Rfam family: Bacterial small subunit ribosomal RNA
Source: RNAcentral